CUGGGUGGACCAGGGCUAUGGGGGCAGCCUGGGGGCUCAGCCCUGUCUCCUUCGGACAGUCCCCCGCCCCCAGACUCGGGGUGUGUGCCCACAUGUGCCAAGGACCGGCCUGGCCGAGGGUGUGCUCUUCCGGAAGCCUCCGGAUUCAGGGUGUGGAUCGAGGGUCCCAGGGGUGUCCAGGUUCCCGCCGGACCUGGAGCAGCUGCAGGUUCCCGCCGGACCUGGAGCAGCUGCAGGGUCUCCCGGGCAUUGGGAUUGUGGGUGAUUCCUACUGGAGC
Molecule: long non-coding RNA, 278 nt
Organism: Ursus maritimus (polar bear)
Lineage: Eukaryota; Metazoa; Chordata; Mammalia; Carnivora; Ursidae
Source: Ensembl